UUUUUAUUUUUUUUUUGAAAAAGAGUGCAUUAAAAUCCAGAUCUUUCUUGAAUUUGAAAAAAAAAUGUUUUUGUGGGAUUGGUUUUAUGGAGUUUUGUCAUCUCUAGGUUUGUGGCAAAAGGAAGCUAAGAUCUUAUUCUUAGGUCUUGACAAUGCUGGCAAAACCACUCUUCUUCAUAUGCUCAAAGAUGAGAGGCUAGUUCAGCAUCAACCAACGCAGUAUCCUACAUCUGAAGAGUUGAGUAUUGGAAAGAUAAAGUUCAAAGCUUUCGACUUGGGAGGUCAUCAGAUUGCUCGUCGGGUCUGGAAAGACUACUAUGCCAAGGUUGAUGCAGUUGUGUACCUAGUUGAUGCAUAUGACAAAGAGCGCUUUGCUGAGUCAAAAAAGGAACUUGACGCGCUUCUUUCUGAUGAAGCCCUUGCUACUGUCCCCUUCCUCAUUUUGGGAAACAAG
Molecule: unclassified non-coding RNA, 454 nt
Filed under: Hevea brasiliensis (rubber tree)
Lineage: Eukaryota; Viridiplantae; Streptophyta; Magnoliopsida; Malpighiales; Euphorbiaceae
Source: RNAcentral